This 238-nucleotide ribosomal RNA is filed under the name uncultured bacterium. RNAcentral's name for it is "partial 16S ribosomal RNA". It matches the Rfam family "Bacterial small subunit ribosomal RNA", at positions 796 to 1041 of the family's 1533-position model. The record is from RNAcentral.
CACGCCGUAAACGAUGGAUACUAGCUGUUGGGAGCAAUCUCAGUGGCUAAGCGAAAGUGAUAAGUAUCCCACCUGGGGAGUACGUUCGCAAGAAUGAAACUCAAAGGAAUUGACGGGGGCCCGCACAAGCGGUGGAGCAUGUGGUUUAAUUCGAUGAUACGCGAGGAACCUUACCAAGGCUUAAAUGUAGAUUGACCGGUUUGGAAACAGAUCUUUCGCAAGACAAUUUACAAGGUGC